Long non-coding RNA from Gallus gallus (chicken), 1141 nucleotides. The record is from Ensembl. NCBI's taxonomy places the organism in Eukaryota, Metazoa, Chordata, Aves, Galliformes, Phasianidae.
GGGAAAGCAUCUUUAGAGUUCCCGUGCACAGGGAGGGAAUUUUUCAGCUCACUUUGCCCCGGACAAAGCACGGAAUAACUGCAUUUAUCCAUCAAACCCGCUGUUGUCUAUUGAGCCGUGCUACUCCUCUUCUUGGGAAAUGAGGCAGGGAGGUAUCGGAGCGAUGGCAGAGAACGCAUUGGAAAGCAGCACCCAACGGAGGCAAACAUUGUGAACUGAACGUUUCAAAUCACCGGGCAAAGAAUAAGUAAAUAAAUAGUGGAAACUCCACACACGCCCUCUCCUCCGAGUCCCACUGCUUUGGGACAUCCCACAGUGGCAGCUGUGGCAUUCGGCUGCAGGAAGCAGCAGGAAGCAGAGGGAGAGGCGUGCAGUAUGCCUACCCCCAGGCUGCAUCGCCGCCUGCUCUUUAGCCCUGUCUGCUGGCAGUGAUCGACGCAGAAGGGAACGCUGAACGUCAAAGAAGGCUGGGAUUAAAACCUGGGGGCCGUGUUUCAAGAAACACUUCAAAAUGAAAAGAACGGUGUGGAAGAGACGGAAAUCCACAGCAAAAAGGUACAGGAGAAACAGCCUAGCGAAGGCAGAGGUGCAGAACAAACAGAAUAACAUGGGACAAGGCAGAAAAAUAGAAUAGCAAGAAGGCUACAAGAGAACCACUAAAGCCCUGGGGGAGCUCCUGCAAAACCACCCUCAGAAUGACAGCGUUGGGGGCAUCCCGGGACAUCCCAGCUGCAGGGCAGGGAGCCUGGGAAUCCAGAGAGCCAGCCUGGGAACUGCCAAGGAACUUGUAUGUGCCACAGUCCUGCAAAGCCCUAAGGUCGUGGCACUGGCACAUGGCGUGGAAGGGCCAUAUACAGCCCAGAUGGGUUUUCUCACCAUGGUAAACUCAGAGACUAGAGCCUGUUUGUAAGCCAGGAAGAGUUUUCUUGUCUUCAUUAGAAGUGGAUUCAAGGAGUUUCAAAUGAAAGAGCCGAAGGCCAGCAAAUGGGCUUUUUUCAUUGCAGCAAAAUUUCUACCAACUACUGUGAUUAAUGGCUUUUGAAAUCUCAGUUCUUUCUGAUUUAUAAAAUGGAAUCGCGUGCAAUAGCCACAUGCUGCGAGUUCUUCGUGAGGUAAUUUAAACUUGUAUACGUGGCUGUCC